This is a long non-coding RNA of Cyprinus carpio (common carp), 275 nucleotides long. RefSeq lists it as uncharacterized. The transcript is spliced from 3 exons. The record is from RefSeq and is a predicted model, not a curated record. Lineage: Eukaryota; Metazoa; Chordata; Actinopteri; Cypriniformes; Cyprinidae.
GCGAAGGGCGUGGCUUUAGCAGCAGUCUCUCUGUACCUGAGUCUGAGAGCUGGACUUUGACUGGGAACUUUGAGGAAAUGGGAAAAAACUAGAACACAACUUCGCAAGGGCAAGUCUGCGCAGGUACAGUUCUGUGCACGCGCAUUCCAGUGUCUUCAAAGAGCGCGUGUGUCCACUAUCCACGAAAACCUGCUAUCGAGGAUAACUGCAAGGCACACUUUAUUUGGCCUGUUUUGGAUGAGAUGAUUGUGUAAUGGUGUGUGGAUAUCUUUGAG